GUGCCAGCAGCCGCGGUAAUUCCAGCUCCAAUAGCGUAUAUUAAAGUUGUUGUGGUUAAAAAGCUCGUAGUUGAACCUUGGGCCUGGCUGGCCGGUCCGCCUCACCGCGUGCACUGGUCCGGCCGGGCCUUUCCCUCUGUGGAACCCCAUACCCUUCACUGGGCGUGGCGGGGAAACAGGACAUUUACUUUGAAAAAAUUAGAGUGCUCCAGGCAGGCCUAUGCUCGAAUACAUUAGCAUGGGAUAAUAAAAUAGGACGCGCGGUUCUAUUUUGUUGGUUUAUAGGACCGCCGUAAUGAUUAAUAGGGACAGUCGGGGGCAUCAGUAUUCAACUGUCAGAGGUGAAAUUCUUGGAUCAGUUGAAGACUAACUACUGCGAAAGCAUUUGCCAAGGAUGUUUUCAUUAAUCAGGAACGAAAGUUAGGGGAUCGAAGACGAUCAGAUACCGUCGUAGUCUUAACCAUAAACUAUGCCGACUAGGGAUCGGACGGUGUUAUUCAUGACCCGUUCGGCACCUUACGAGAAAUCAAAGUGCUUGGGCUCCAGGGGGAGUAUGGUCGCAAGGCUGAAACUUAAAGAAAUUGACGGAAGGGCACCACCAGGGGUGGAGCCUGCGGCUUAAUUUGACUCAACACGGGGAAACUCACCAGGUCCAGACACAAUAAGGAUUGACAGAUUGAGAGCUCUUUUCUUGAUUUUGUGGGUGGUGAUGCAUGGCCCGUUCUUAGCUUGGUGGGGGAUGACUUGUCUGCUUAAUUGCGAUAACCGAACGAGACCCUUUAACUUGCUGAAAUUAGCCCCGCAUUUGCUUCCGGCAGGAGCG
This 823-nucleotide ribosomal RNA is filed under the name uncultured fungus. RNAcentral describes it as "SSU rRNA". It matches the Rfam family "Eukaryotic small subunit ribosomal RNA", at positions 564 to 1394 of the family's 1831-position model. The record is from RNAcentral. Lineage: Eukaryota; Fungi.